Molecule: non-coding RNA, 173 nt
Organism: Penaeus vannamei (Pacific white shrimp)
Lineage: Eukaryota; Metazoa; Arthropoda; Malacostraca; Decapoda; Penaeidae
Source: RefSeq, a predicted model, not a curated record
UAGGUUUUGUGUGUGUGUGUUUCUGUAUGUGUAUGGUCGUGUGCACGCGCGCGUGCAAACACACUCCCAUAACACACACACACACACACAGAGAGAGAGAAACAUAUAUAUAUAUAUAUAUAUAUAUAUAUAUAUAUAUAUAUAUAUAUAUAUAUUUAUAUACAUAUACAUAU